This is a small nucleolar RNA of Sorex fumeus (smoky shrew), 137 nucleotides long. RefSeq annotates it as small nucleolar RNA SNORA70. The record is from RefSeq and is a predicted model, not a curated record. NCBI's taxonomy places the organism in Eukaryota, Metazoa, Chordata, Mammalia, Eulipotyphla, Soricidae. The transcript has a single exon.
GUGCAUUUCUCAAGUAAGCCAACUGCGCUUCCUCUACCUCUCUGGGUCCGAUGUGCAACAGCUCCAAAGAGCAGUCUUGUGGCAGUGUGCGAAACUGUUGUUUGUGAAGGCUGCCUUAAGGGACCUUGAGAUCAUCC